Long non-coding RNA from Musa acuminata subsp. malaccensis (wild Malaysian banana), 1014 nucleotides. RefSeq lists it as uncharacterized. Lineage: Eukaryota; Viridiplantae; Streptophyta; Magnoliopsida; Zingiberales; Musaceae. The record is from RefSeq and is a predicted model, not a curated record.
UCGUGACACUAUCUGGUAGCUUUCUUAGGGGAGUGUCGAGGGGCGGGGGUUAUCCCGACCCGCUCACUCUUCUUCUCGUGCUUCCGCCUUUCCAAAGGGGUAGGCGACUACUGGCUGUCAUCCAGAGGAGGUUUUCGGGUGAGUGGGGCUCCUUCCAACAAUAAGGGGUGGAAGAGUUGAUAUUUUUUUUAUCAGCUAUAGUCGAGGCUGGGGCUUCGACCUUCGAUGGUCAUCUCGAUCGAUCGAUAAUUCUCUUCCGGGCUUGUCUAAUGAUGAGCAUGAGCAGCUCGGUCGCUUGAAGCAGGUCCUUUCUUCUUCCCGAGCAAUUAGGGACAUAAUCAAGGAGUGACUGGUCGAAGCGGGGCUUAGUCCGACUCCUCGAGGAAUGGUGAAUUUGAAGGAGUUGAGAGGGAUGCCUAGUGCUUCCUCAGCCCCUCGGGCUUCAGAGCUGGACCUGCCGGCCUCGGGGUGUCAGGAGUGACCUUCGGGGUUGGGGCCCGAACAGCCAUGCAAGAAGUCUAAGGUCUUGACCCGCAAGAGACCUGCGCCGACCGCAACGCAGGAGGCGUCUGGCGAGGCCGGGAAGCGUCUUCGCGAGGCUUCUUCGAGCAGAGCGGCCGGAGGGAGUGCUCGGGGCAAAGCCCAUGCCGAUCCUCGAGGGGAAUCGACGAGAUCUGCGUGGACUCGAGAUCUCUGUGGUACUCGGGCACGGGCCAACGUCGAGCCCUUCCAAUCGCUCUUCAUGGGGGACUUGCCUGACGGGGAGGGAACUACUCCCCUUGAGCCGCGCUGGUCGGGGCUGACGCUCGACGAUCGGAUUUGGGCGGACGAUGCUUCCUAUGGUGCUUAUCUCUGAGGUGCCCUUAUCCCUGCAAUCGCAAAGCAUGUGUAUUGCUUGCCUUCCGAGGUGCUGAUUGAUAAGUCCGCCAAGUCCUUGGUAUAGGUAGGUGUAUUGCUUUGUUAUCGAGGCUAUAGAACGGGAAGGCUUGCCCCGACUCCUCCAGUUGAUCAUUA